GUGGGGAAUCUUAGACAAUGGGGGAAACCCUGAUCUAGCCAUGCCGCGUGAUCGAUGAAGGCCUUAGGGUUGUAAAGAUCUUUCAGGUGGGAAGAUAAUGACUGUACCACCAGAAGAAGCCCCGGCUAACUCCGUGCCAGCAGCCGCGGUAAUACGGAGGGGGCUAGCGUUGUUCGGAAUUACUGGGCGUAAAGCGCACGUAGGCGGAUUGGAAAGUUGGGGGUGAAAUCCCGGGGCUCAACCCCGGAACUGCCUUCAAAACUAUCAGUCUUGAGUUCGAGAGAGGUGAGUGGAAUUCCGAGUGUAGAGGUGAAAUUCGUAGAUAUUCGGAGGAACACCAGUGGCGAAGGCGGCUCACUGGCUCGAUACUGACGCUGAGGUGCGAAAGCGUGGGGAGCAAACAGGAUUAGAAACCCCUGUAGUCC
This 425-nucleotide ribosomal RNA is filed under the name uncultured bacterium. RNAcentral describes it as "partial 16S ribosomal RNA". It matches the Rfam family "Bacterial small subunit ribosomal RNA", at positions 354 to 796 of the family's 1533-position model. The record is from RNAcentral.